Oryza glumipatula is the source of this 208-nucleotide non-coding RNA. The record is from Rfam. NCBI's taxonomy places the organism in Eukaryota, Viridiplantae, Streptophyta, Magnoliopsida, Poales, Poaceae.
AAAAAGACAAACCCUGAAUUUUUGUGUCCAAUGUUUGAUUAUUCGUCUUAUAUGAAUUUUUUUUUAUAAUUAGUAUUUUCAUUGUUAUUAGAUGAUAAAACAUGAUUAAUAUUUUAUGCGUGACUUGUCUUUUUAAUUUUUUUUUAUAAUUUUUUAAAUGAGGCGGACGGUCAAACGUUGGGCACGGAAAUUAAGAGUUUGUCUUUUU